AACGAACGCUGGCGGCGUGGAUAAGACAUGCAAGUCGUGCGGGACAUCGUUGGUAGCAAUAUUAGCGGUGUCUAGCGGCGAACGGGUGCGUAACACGUAGCUCACCUACCUCGAAGUGGGGGAUAGCUCGCCGAAAGGCGAAUUAAUACCGCAUGUGGUUGUAAGACUAAAGCGGGGGAUCGUAAGACCUCGCGCUUCGAGAUGGGGCUGCGGCCUAUCAGCAGUUGGUGAGGUAACGGCCCACCAAGGCGAUGACGGGUAGCUGGUCUGAGAGGACGACCAGCCACACUGGAACUGAGACACGGUCCAGACACCUACGGGUGGCAGCAGUCGAGGAUCUUGGACAAUGGGCGCGAGCC
RNAcentral lists this ribosomal RNA (359 nucleotides) under uncultured bacterium. RNAcentral's name for it is "bacterial SSU rRNA". It matches the Rfam family "Bacterial small subunit ribosomal RNA", at positions 29 to 383 of the family's 1533-position model. The record is from RNAcentral.